RNAcentral lists this transfer RNA (72 nucleotides) under Bucco capensis (collared puffbird). RNAcentral's name for it is "tRNA-Phe". The record is from RNAcentral. Lineage: Eukaryota; Metazoa; Chordata; Aves; Piciformes; Bucconidae.
GUCCCCGUAGCUUAUAAACCAAAGCAUGGCCUUGAAGAUGCCAAGAAGGUUGCCCACCACACCCCGGAGACA